RNAcentral lists this transfer RNA (81 nucleotides) under Pyricularia oryzae 70-15. RNAcentral's name for it is "tRNA-Ser (AGA) (tRNA-Ser-AGA-1-1, tRNA-Ser-AGA-1-2)". It matches the Rfam family "tRNA". From Rfam's summary of the family: Transfer RNA (tRNA) molecules are approximately 80 nucleotides in length. Their secondary structure includes four short double-helical elements and three loops (D, anti-codon, and T loops). Further hydrogen bonds mediate the characteristic L-shaped molecular structure. tRNAs have two regions of fundamental functional importance: the anti-codon, which is responsible for specific mRNA codon recognition, and the 3' end, to which the tRNAs corresponding amino acid is attached (by aminoacyl-tRNA synthetases). tRNAs cope with the degeneracy of the genetic code in two manners: having more than one tRNA (with a specific anti-codon) for a particular amino acid; and 'wobble' base-pairing, i.e. permitting non-standard base-pairing at the 3rd anti-codon position. RNAcentral also lists the same sequence under 4 other names. Lineage: Eukaryota; Fungi; Ascomycota; Sordariomycetes; Magnaporthales; Pyriculariaceae. The record is from RNAcentral.
GGCAAUGUGUCUGAGUGGUUAAGGAGCGUGACUAGAAAUCACGUGGGUUCGCCCGCGUAGGUUCAAAUCCUGCCAUUGUCG